UACGGAGGAUCCAAGCGUUAUCCGGAAUCAUUGGGUUUAAAGGGUCCGUAGGCGGUUUUGUAAGUCAGUGGUGAAAGCCCAUCGCUCAACGGUGGAACGGCCAUUGAUACUGCAAGACUUGAAUUAUUGGGAAGUAACUAGAAUAUGUAGUGUAGCGGUGAAAUGCUUAGAUAUGACAUAGAACACCAAUUGCGAAGGCAGCCCGCUACACGGUUAUUGACACUGAGGCACGAAAGCGUGGGGAUCAAACAGG
RNAcentral lists this ribosomal RNA (253 nucleotides) under uncultured bacterium. RNAcentral describes it as "partial 16S ribosomal RNA". It matches the Rfam family "Bacterial small subunit ribosomal RNA", at positions 524 to 776 of the family's 1533-position model. The record is from RNAcentral.